AGAGUUUGAUCCUGGCUCAGGACGAACGCUGGCGGCGUGCUUAACACAUGCAAGUCGAACGGUAAGGCCCUUCGGGGUACACGAGUGGCGAACGGGUGAGUAACACGUGGGUAAUCUGCCCUGCACAUCGGGAUAAGCCUGGGAAACUGGGUCUAAUACCGAAUAGGACCACAGGACACAUGUCCUGUGGUGGAAAGCUUUUGCGGUGUGGGAUGGGCCCGCGGCCUAUCAGCUUGUUGGUGGGGUGAUGGCCUACCAAGGCGACGACGGGUAGCCGGCCUGAGAGGGUGUCCGGCCACACUGGGACUGAGAUACGGCCCAGACUCCUACGGGAGGCAGCAGUGGGGAAUAUUGCACAAUGGGCGAAAGCCUGAUGCAGCGACGCCGCGUGGGGGAUGACGGCCUUCGGGUUGUAAACCUCUUUCACCAUCGACGAAGGUCCGGGUUUUCUCGGGCUGACGGUAGGUGGAGAAGAAGCACCGGCCAACUACGUGCCAGCAGCCGCGGUAAUACGUAGGGUCCGAGCGUUGUCCGGAAUUACUGGGCGUAAAGAGCUCGUAGGUGGUUUGUCGCGUUGUUCGUGAAAACUCACAGCUCAACUGUGGGCGUGCGGGCGAUACGGGCAGACUUGAGUACUGCAGGGGAGACUGGAAUUCCUGGUGUAGCGGUGGAAUGCGCAGAUAUCAGGAGGAACACCGGUGGCGAAGGCGGGUCUCUGGGCAGUAACUGACGCUGAGGAGCGAAAGCGUGGGGAGCGAACAGGAUUAGAUACCCUGGUAGUCC
This 783-nucleotide ribosomal RNA is filed under the name uncultured bacterium. RNAcentral's name for it is "bacterial SSU rRNA". It matches the Rfam family "Bacterial small subunit ribosomal RNA", at positions 8 to 796 of the family's 1533-position model. The record is from RNAcentral.